Molecule: long non-coding RNA, 1314 nt
Organism: Nothoprocta perdicaria
Lineage: Eukaryota; Metazoa; Chordata; Aves; Tinamiformes; Tinamidae
Exons: 2
Source: RefSeq, a predicted model, not a curated record
AAGUGUUUUGGUCUUUGGAAAUACUUUGAAAAAGUAUUUUGCAAACAGUUCAAAUAAGGAGGAGAACUAAAUCUGUUGUGGAUAGUUUCAGAAGAAUGUGUUUGAUCUGAAAAACAGAGGCCACAACUCGUGGUUUGUGGAAUAUCCCGCACAGCCAGUGUGGGGGAAAAAAAACGAAGCCAUGUCUGAACCCUUUGGGAAACAAGAUGGUGGUUUUUUUUUUGAGGUUUCAUAAGACCGUGCCCUACAGCACUUUGAGAAAGAUAGCACAAUAAUUUAUAAUUUCCUGUUCCGGAAUGAUGGCAAAGACUUAUCAUUUUCCCACGGAAAAUUCAGCUGAGAGAAAAAUGGAGCUAAAAGCGAGUAUUGUCCCUGCUGUGAAAGGCUUGAAUCGUGGAAGCAGGGAAGCACCAACUCUGCAGAGGACAGUUCUCCAAAGGCGGGAAAGAAAAAUGAAUCCUCUGGAACAAAUGGAGGAGGAAAGAACUGGAAAUAAAUGACGUUGAAUGACAUUCACCAAAAGGCAACUGAAGCCAAGUGCACACAUCUGGAUUUAGCAGAGAUUAAUUAAGACAACAUCACAUCUGGAAUUUUCCAUGCUUAGGGUGGUUCUAAAACAUCCAGAGGGACCAAAUGGUGACGAGGAAACUAUGUCUGUUGGAAAUACAAGACAGGAAGUGAAACCAAAGAAUUACUGAAAGGUAUCUACACCACUUCCAAAUCUGUGCUGAUUUUAUAAAUGAAGCUAAGAAGAAAAUCCCUAGUACUGAAUAUCUAAAAAAUCCUUGGAUAUCUGUUUAUCGAUGUGUGUUGUAAAAUGAACAUUGUAAAUGGUGAAGGGAGAUGAACUACUAAGGUGUAAGAAAAUGAAUGAAAAGCUCAUGAAAUUGUUAUAUUUGUACUGAAGUAGUAAGCUAAAACAUUUUAAAUCAAAGGUUAUGAAUUUUGAUAUCAGCAUAUGACUAUAUGAUAAAAGUAAUUUAAUUAAUCCUGAUUCUACCAGAUCAAAAUACUAAUACUGGAAUUCCAUAGAAGAGCUAAUGUUUGACUUUUGCACUUCCUACUUACAACAUUGUUAAACUCUAAAGGUCCGUUUUUGAGUUCUGCCAAAAUCCUGAAUGUCUUAUGACACUUUAUUACCUGGGACAAGAGCAAGCAGUACUGUGCCCGUCUUCAACCCCAGGAAUUACCCAACUGCUAUGAGGAAAUGGCUGGGUUGAAACGCGAUGAUCAGACUAUGCUGGCAUCUAUCAAAAUGCCUUAAACUAAAUGCCUGAAUCUAGAGAGCUCACGUUCCAGGAGCACCUAGGACCU